Molecule: ribosomal RNA, 253 nt
Filed under: uncultured bacterium
Lineage: Bacteria
Description: partial 16S ribosomal RNA
Rfam family: Bacterial small subunit ribosomal RNA
Source: RNAcentral
UACGUAGGUGACAAGCGUUGUCCGGAUUUACUGGGCGUAAAGAGCGCGCAGGCGGUCGUUCAAGUCGAGUGUGAAAGCCCCCGGCUCAACUGGGGAGGGUCAUUCGAUACUGAUCGACUCGAAGGCAGGAGAGGGAAGUGGAAUUCCCGGUGUAGUGGUGAAAUGCGUAGAUAUCGGGAGGAACACCAGUGGCGAAGGCGACUUCCUGGCCUGUUCUUGACGCUGAGGUGCGAAAGCGUGGGGAGCAAACAGG